AUAGUCUGAUUAUAGGCCACUGUGCUCUAGCAGAACUGCAUUUCCCUUUUACAGUUUACACUCCAGUGCUCCUUCCAUAUGUGCUUCAGUGCAUCAUGACAUGGGUGAGUUGGAAUGGCUGCUUUCUCCUACUCCUGAUAACACCCAUCUCUUUCUUAGGGAGGAAAGCUCAUGCUCCAGAGGACUCAGGUGUGCUAGGUUAGCUCUUCUUUGGAAGAGACAUUCUAUUAAAUACAUAUGAUAUAAAAAGCUACUGAGUUUGUAUUUCAGAUAACAGCUAUUUGGUGACUAAACAUCAUGACUGUCUAGGUGAUGAUGGUUAAUAUGUCUUUUCUCCUUUUUAGUUGGUGUAUAGGAAAUCUGUUACGAAACUCAGAGAAAGAUCUUGUGGAAGGGAAUGGUGAUUGUAUUAUUCAAAGUCACUAAGCAAAUUGAUUUUAGACAGUCAUACUCUCAUGACAAAUCUGUUCAAAUGAUCUGACUGGGAUUGCUUGCAUUUAACAUGAAGGAUAAGUCAAAUCCUCACUUCAUCUCUUGGAUUCUUCUUGAUUGCCCAAAAAUGAAUUAUUUUUUUAAAAUCCCUUAGAAUAUCUUUGACAGUAAUUCACUGUUGUCUUUCUGUAAGCUUUUCUGCAACCCGUUAGUCUGAGGGGCUAAAAGCAGAAGGAAUGGCAUGUGUGAUUUGCUAUAACCUCUGCUAUUGUCCUUGUGUCACAAUGCAGUGUUUCCUGUGAACAAGAUGCUUGUGCUGUGGUCUUAUCAGAGAAGGGUCUUCUGUUGGGCUCAGUAGGAACAGCACAUUCCUCAACUUGAUGAAAUGGGAUCCCUCAUUAUCAAUGUAGGCUUCUUUUUUGAUUAUUGUUUUGGUGCUUUCACAUACCUAUUUCCAGCCAUAUAUAAUGUAUACCAAUUUAAAUAAUUUAGUCAAAAAUUAUGCCAUUUCAUUUAGAAUUUUUUUUCUUUCUUUCCAUUUUUUGUAUUGCAGCAGAUUCAGUAGCAAUAACUAGUGAAAUAUGGGCAGAUCUGUGGGGUUUAUGCUACACAGAUGCAGGGUAGGACUCAUUAAAUUCUGUCUGUACUAGCAGGAUAGAAGCAACAGCACAGCCAGAUGGUGACUACUGGUAAUAUAAAAGCAAUGCAUUUUUGCCCCAGAGUAAAAGAUCUUAUAGAGAAAGCAAUAGCUUCUUAGGCUGUCAUUGCUUGGCCAGUUGAUGAAUAUUACUCAAGGCUAAUUGAAUAGCAGACCUUCAUCAGAGUUGGAAAGCUUUAAAAAAAAAAAAAAGUCUUCCUACUGCAGUGAACUGAAGCUAUUAGCCCCUAAUUAACACAUGGGGUUUCAUCUUUACCUUUCUAGAGAUCACAGAAAUCUAUGUAUUUUUCAGGCUGCAAGCCAGAAAUCAAACAUUCAUUACAUAAUUGCAGUAAGUCUGAGCUAAUACUUCUCAUUAAGUAUGAUUUAUGAAUUCCAAAAGAGCCUAAGAGAUAAAUACAUAAAAAUUAUUCUGAAGUCUGCAAAAAUGAAAGCAUUCAUUUCUCUGGAUGAUUGUGCAGCAAGAAUGAUUUAGGCAAACAUGAACAUUUGGUAAGGACAUGGCAUUUAAAUAUCUGUACUUUUGUGAUGCUCUCAAAGUGGUGUGAUUUCAUCUAAUUUUGCUGCUGAUCUUUCAGCAAAGAUGAUGUUCUGCCCAGAGAAUCAACCAGUGCAGGCAGAAUCAGUCUCCCACGGAUCAACAUUCCCUUGGAGCUGCAGGAGAUGGGCAUCUGCCAUGAUGCAGUUUGUGAGCCUGUGGAUAAACCUAUUUUGGUUUUACAAUUACAGGUUAAUUUUAAGCCCACCAGUAACAGAUUUUCCAAAGUCAUAAACUGAAGACUUGCUCCCUACAGAGCAGUGAAGACAAGAUGCAACAGCUGAAUGUGGUAGUUGGGCUUGGGACAGAUGGCGUGCAAGAGCAAAUGCUCCAGACAGGUCUCCUCCCCAUCUCCCACGUGGAAGAGGAGCUGCAGUCCUCAUGGGCUCCCUGCAUGGUUCGUGAAUUUCCCAGAUGAUUCUCCAGAGUGGUGAGGAUGCUGAAACUGGGGAAGUUGUGUUGAGGAUUAACCCUUUUUUACCAGGAUCUGUUUCUAAAUUGUAAUGUGUAAAAUAACAAGCAUGUGUUUUAGAAUUGCUGCUGUGAUACAGUCGUGUGCUAGAUUUUGGUUAUUGCGUUCCCUGAGGAGAGAAAGAGAACGUCAGCUAAAAUGUUGAAUGCUCUGUUAGUGAUUGCUAGCAUGCUUCAAAAGCUGAAGCUCAUGGAAGGAGUGGGUUUUCAGCAACAGGGCCACACUAUGCAAGACUGCCCUGCUCUGAUGGUUACACUAGCUGUUACAAAUCCCGCUCUAAUGAGGGUAACAUGCCUACGGAAUAUAAAUAGAAUAAACCUGCUGUGCUCACAUAUUAGAAGCCUGUAACUCAGUGGCUCUGCCUUAUACGUGAGUUAUGUAAAUGCCAUUUUGGAAAUCGUCGCCUCACUUCUGUCUGCUCCGUGACAGGAAGCAAACUCCAUGGGUGUGUUGGAGUCCUGCAGGCUUCCUGCUCCCAUCUGGCUUCAUGGACUGGGCUCUUGCUAUAAGAUUUUGCAUCUCUCUUUGUACCUCCUGCUUUGUCUUUAUUGCGAGGGAGCAAUGUGAAAUAUGAUAAAUAUUUGCUCUCUACAAAUGAGGGCAAGUAAUAAGCAGAUAUAGAAGCUCUAUGAUUUGGUGGGAGUAUUUGUAACAAAGCUGGGGCUAUGAAACUGGCAUUUCUAGUGUCUGCUUUGAACCAAUUUUAUUCCACUGUGGAACAAAGAAUUCAUUUUUUUCUGUUGAAAAGAUGGCAAUAUUAGGAAAAUCCAUGCUGUACAUUUACUGAUAGCGUUGUUCUAUCAUAGCAUUAACUGCUGUAUUAUAGCAGCAGAGGUACUUCUGAAGUUUUGAAACAGCAAAGUGUGACAGCCUCUAUCUGUCACCCUUCACUAAUCAACACUGUAGCUCUUUACCAUCUGGGUUUUGGAGAAUCUCUCAUCAUUAAGGCUCCAUCCUUGCAAACAGAUGGCCACAUUGUGUGAUGUCCCUGCUGAAGUGCCUGCUGGGAUCUAUACAGACCCGUUGGGACAGAUGCGUGGGUUUGCUCAGCCUGCUGGCAUGCACGUCUUGCACUUACAUAGAAGGUGGUUCUAAGAGAAAGAACAAACAUGGAGACUGCAUGAUACCUGUAGGCCAAGCCCUCCCCUGGCCACAUCACCAGUGCCACUGACACUGGCUGGGGUUGGGGAUGAACGAGCAAAGACCUGCAGGCUGAGAAAGCCAUCAUCUGUGAAGUCUAGCUGGGCUGCUUGGUUUCUAGAGGCUGGUCAGUAAACAAGAUUGUUUGAGCACAUUUUGAAGUGCUAGAAACUGGUUUAUCUGAAACCUGCUGCUGAGUAAACAUUCUUCAAGACAGAAACUCUGAUGAAAACAAAAUAGUGACUUGGGUGCAGCGAGCUGGGCACUGGUUGUUCUGGUGUGUGUUUCUGUGUUGCCAGCUUGCACUGCAGUAUCCAAGCCAUUCAGGUGGUCUGGACAGUCGCUGGGUGCUGCUGUCAGUGGUGCUCAGGCAGCUGGGGCAGCGUGUCACAUAUGGCCUGUUACUGCUGGGCCUGGCAGUAAGCAGGCUCUGGCAGCUCGCACUCAACCCAGCUGAUCUCAGCCAGGCUGCCGCGCUCCGUGUGCCUGAAGGCAGGCUGUGGGGAUGUGCCAUGAAGAUGGUCCCUCUGUGGGCUUUCAUGGGAGAAGGAACAGAUCUGCUGAAAGGCCGUGGUGCCACUCUUAUUUUCCAUCUGGUAUCUCUGGAGGAGCCUUCAUGUAUGAAACAACUAAGGCAUCUGCUUUUACCUUAUAUGCUGCAUCUAUGAUAAAAGCCACGUGUGACCUUUUCUUCUUCUGUUAGAGGAAGAGGCCCAUCUGGCCUUGAGUUAAUGCUUUUCCUUUCUCAAAUCCUGUUUUUCUAAGUGUCUCACCAAAACACUCAGAUUGUCUUUAGGACAAAUAUCUAGAGACCAAGUCUGCUCUGAUGAAAUAGGUACAAAAGCUUCCCUCAAUGCCCAGCGUCCACACACAGCUGGCACCAGCAGCACUGUGCCCAUUGCCCAGCCCAGCCCUGGGCUGCACAGAAGUGUUGUGAGAGCUCUGGCUGAUGGAACAGCGACAGGGAGAUUGUGUAACAUGCCCUGGGCUGUGAGAGUCGGAGAGGUUAACAGAGAACCUGCUUAUGGUUUAUUGUCACUGCCAGGUCUUGCUGGAAAGGAAGCCCAGCACCGCCUUCAAAGGGAGCUGCUCAGUGCUACGGCAUGUUUGGUAACCAUUUCCCUGCAUGCCUCUCCUUCAGCUGCUGCCUCAAGAACGCAGCACUGAGUGCUGCUCUGAGGUUUUAUGAGCAAGUGCAGAGGCAGUAAAGGCUCUUUCUCAUACAGUGUGCUGCACCAUGAUUUGUGUGUGUGGUGUAUGGUGUAGAGCAGCCCUGGCUGUUUGCUGCACCCCUGGUGAAGAACGUUUCUGGGAGAGCCCCUCCAGUGUUUCUAUCUGGGGUGGCUGGGCAAGAGUUUCUUGGAGUUACUUUCUGAUACUGUGUCUACAGUGGAAAUAACAGUAAGCAUAGAGUGGCUUGGAGAGGCUUGGAGCAGAAACAGCCAGAAGUAGGAGCCUCUGUUUUUAGUUUGAGACGUGUCUCUUUAAAGCUCUGCUGUGGUUGGGUCCAUCUGUGCUUGUCAUUCCUUUGUUAACCAAAAAUCCCAAGCUGAGGAAAAACUGCUUUGCAGUUGUAGUGAGAUGGAAGAGGCCCUGAUGGAAGAGGGCUGUGGCAGAGCCAGAACUUCUGCCUGGGAUAAAAACUAUUUGAGUAACUUGGAACUGUGGAGCUGGCUCGCUUCACUGUGCUGCCUUCAGAUGGCUGGACGUUGUGCUGAGUCAGCAGUGUGCUCCAGAGCUUGUGGUGUUCCUUGGCUGUGCCUCAGGCAGGAACACGCCUCUCCACCGAAACCCUUCCAUCCUUUCUUUUCAGUUUACUCACAGAUCACAUUUCCCUGCUUUUAUUCUGCUUUUGUGACUGGCUGCUGUGGCAGUGUCUCUUCUUCCUUCCCAUGGAUUGUGAAGGGCUAAUGUGGAUUUCAUCACAGCAAUGCCUUUAUCUCCGUUUGCCUGUCACUGAUGGAGAAACCCCAGCAGCUUCAGUAGGUCUGGUAACAUUCCAGUUUUGUUUCUCUUGUUCUCUUGCAGCUUUGGGGACUGUCUUCUGACUCAUGUGCCCAGCUGCAAAGCAGAGAUUUUGCCGAGUGCCAAAAAUCUCUUGCGUUUCUCUUACAGUGACUGGGUUCCAGAUUCUGCUCAAAGGAACAGAAAGACCCAAUUUCAGCCAGUUGGAUUUCCUGAACCAGCCACCCCUGCUGGAAUGGUCACACAGUGCUGCUGUGUUUGGGUCUCAACAUCUUCAGGCAGGAACCUGUGCAAGGAAACCUUUCUGGCAACUAAUCCCCACACAUUGUGUUUGGGAGUCCUUUAGGGAGUGGCUGUGACUCCACAAACUCUCCUGCCUGCAUGUUUUUUCCAAGUGAGCAUUCAGACUGCUGCUCUUUCUGCUGUUUUUUUCAGAUUUUAAUGAGUCCUUGGCAGCAGAAGUACUGAGCAAAAAAAAAAAAAAAAAAAAAAGGAAGUGCCCCAUUAAUGCACUGCAGAUAGAAUCAGGCUGGGCUGGAAAACUCCAAGAUUGACUGUAAUAGCACUGACCAUAAUGUAAAACCCGUAUGCUGAGGAGGCCAGAUACCUCUCUGUAUCUAAGGUCUUUCAGAAGCGUGAUCUCCAACCUGUGGCAGCCCCAGACUUUCCAGGUCUCCCUGCCCAUCAGCACCAGCACAGUCAGCAUUUGCAGGAGCAGCUGCUGAGAAAUGCCCUCAAGCUCUGUCUGCAUGGCUGCAGCACUGAGAGCAGCACUGACUGUCUUGCAAGAAUGGAAAACUGAGAAAGAAUAUGAAGGUACAGGAAGUCAGUGUGUCCGUCUGAAGUUUAUGGAAGUGCAAGUGCCAGUGUGCACCUCGGGCCUAAAGCAGCAAUCAGACUGAUACUUGAAGUAGUGGUGCGUGUCUUGCCAGUUGUCCUUAGUCUCACGGGUGUCACAGCUUUUCUGUGCUUGACUGUUUUUCCAUGCGGAAGAAGUGGUGAGGCAUUGGAGCAGGGUGCCUGGGCAGGUGGUGGAGUCAUUGUUCCCAGAGGUGUUUAAGGAGAGGGUACAGGUGGUACUCAGGGACACAGGGAGUGGGCAAUUCUGGUGGCAGGUGGACUGUUGGACUAGAUGAUCUUAGAUGUCUUUUCCCACCUAAAUGACUCUGUAAUGAUUAGAGGUGUGACUGUCCUCCAUUAGUGGAUAAAAACAGUUCACAGAUCUCUUGGGAAUUGAUAAUAAUAAGACCCUUGGAUAUAGAAGAAAAACUGAUCUCUAAGAGGACUGAGGAAUAGGUUUAAAACUGGAAUAUAUUUCUGAAGCCAAUUACUGGGAAGAAACUGAGAGAUUUGCCUAUGGAGUACAGAAUUGGAACUUAAGUUAUGCACACUGAUUCAACAACUGUGCUAUUUUUGGCUUGUGAACUGUUCUGAUGGCUGUUUAUUUUUAAGGUCAUUUUCUGUUUGCACAGCAUAUACACCCUUCUGGUGGGUGGGAGGCAUUAUAAAAACAAUCACUGCUGCUCAGAAUUAUGAACUAAACUCGAAGAGGGAUGGAAAAAAAACAGAACUUGGUGUACUUACUACUUUAAAAAACAUCUGUUUAGGUCAGAAGGCUUUGUUGACCCAUUCCAAGCUGUGGCCCCACCGGAAAAAUCCCAUCCCAAUUAACAUAGAUUACCACAGGGGAUUGCAAAAGACUUGGGAAAACUCGGACAGAGUAUAAACAGAAAGGAAGCAUCAGGUUUGGCAGUUUCUUCCCAAAUACUCACCUUCUGGUAGCAAAUACAAGACUAAAAUGUUCAUCUCAUGGCUGAAGAGUUGCUAAGAGCUGGAUUUCAUGCUGGCUGGCCAUGCCUGAAUCCCAGCAUCUGUCUUUUUUAAGGCUCAUGUAAAAUAACAACACACUUCACUGACAUUUUCUGGCUUCUUCCUGGUGGCUGUAUCUUUAUUCCCACACAGUCAAGUAAUACAAAUUGAUUGGACAGUGGCAGUUUACAAAAUAAAGUAAGAAUGAUUACUCUGAGCUUAAAUUUUAAAAAAAUCUAAAUCUGGACACGUGGAAUUCAGUGCCAUAUUUAGACCAGAAACUGGUAAGGAAAUGGUUCAUAACAUUGAUGGUGUAUUCUCAGCCAUGUUCCUUUCCCAGAAAAUAAAAUACACCAUACAAAAAUAUACUAAAAUUAUUAACUGAGUUGGUGGAAAUUGUCUGCUGCAAUAUAAUUGCUGUUGUCUGAUUUUCAGCAUAUUUACUCCAGCACUACAUUAUGACAGAAGUAAACUGUGUUUAUUCAAAUAUUUGAAUUUAUUUUGAACUUUCAAGUUCAUCUCAAAUUAAUUUUCUUGUGCUCCAACCCUGAAGAUGCAUGAAGGACAUUAAGUUUGGACUUGUGCAACUGAUACAAGUGAGGGAGCACAGGAGUGUUCAGUUCCUUGAGGUCUUUUUCAGGAAGGGAGUGGGAAUCAAAAUGCUGAACCUCUUUGAUUUUAAAAAUUCUAGAAAAAUGCCCCAGAUUAAGACUUGCUAAAAGUCUUCCCUGGGCAACUCUUUUUCCUGAUAGGCUUGAGGUCAUCAGCUCUCUAGCAAUCUGGUGAAACUGCCUGGUUUCGAGAUCUGGGGCUCUGCUCUUGAGUCAGCUGCAGUAAACCUUUUCCUUCUCUCCUUUGUAUAAACAUACCUGUCCCUCUUCCCAUCCCUCCCUUCCUUGUCUGAUAUCACACAUAUCUGAUAUCACGAUUUCUUUCUAUGAGAGCCCCAGCCCUUUGAUAAGCCUCAUAUGCAUUCACAGUGCCAUUUCCUUAGUGUUUCCGAAGUUCAGAAUUCCUGGUGUAGAAGUCAAAGUCCAUACCUAUCUCACCACCCACUGAGGAGAGGCAGGUUUGCACAGCUGCAAUGACAGUCUCUAAAGUUGAUGUAAGACCUGUGAGAAGAGCCUGCCCUAGAAGUUCUCUGUUCUUUGCAGAGAAUGCCUCAUGGGAAGCAAAAGCACCAGUUUUCUGCAGAGCCCCAGAAGGGUCUGAAGGUCCCGUCACCUCCGAAGGAGGAAUUCAACAUGAGCAGGCAAGCGUAUUUCAGCCAAGGAUUGCUAGCUCCUUUUUUCUCCCAAGAGUAUUAUUGCUCCACUUUUGCAGACAGGAAGAUUAAGGCACAGAAAGGUGAACUCACUUGGAUCAAGACUGAUCUCUAGUCCAGCCUCUUCUCUAAGCUGUCAUUCUGUGCUUGUGUAUAGGAGACGUUCUCAGAAUGACCUGGGGUAGUCCAUGACCUUUGUUCCCCUCGCAGACAGCACAAACAGGGGCCAAUAUCCACCUUCCCAGGCACGGCCUCCACAGAACACACCAAGAAGGACAUGCAUUGGAGGCCAGAAGUUGGCUUCCCAAUAUUGAAACACCGCUGGUUCUCAAGGAGGUCAGCUAUGGAAAGAUGACCAAGAUACCUCUGAGGUAUAAAACUCUGUGUCUGCUGGCCACUGGUCAACUUUGUAAUCAUCAGACUUGUCACUGUCAUCACCGCUGGAGGGUUCGUAGCCUGGGAUGGCAGAACGGUACCGCCCCGGCUGCCCACAGUCAGCCUCCUCUUCCUUCUUCUGUUCUGCCAGCAGCUGCCUGUAGCACAGGUUGCAGACCCUCAGGGGCUUGGGGGACAGCCGGGGCAUCAAAAACCUCUGCCUGGAGCAGUCUCCACACACCACAAAGCCACACUUGCGGCAGUGGUGCCUUCGAGUGAGCGUGGAGAACUUGGUCUGUGUGCAGCGCAUGCAGAUGUCUGUCGCCUUGUCGGGGAUCCAGGGGGCCGCGUGCUCUGUGGAGGGCUGCCUGCCCGUCUUUGUCAGCAGGUGCCUGAUGCACUCCUCCAGAUGGCUGAUCCACUCCUUCCGCUCCGUCAGGGAGGCCGCAGAAACCACAAAGGACUUUUUUGAGGUUUUGAUCAUCCAGCGGUUCUUCAUCUGCAAGGUGUCGGGCAGCGUCUCCAGAGUGACAUCUUCAAGGGGAAUGAUGUGCUGGGAAUUGUACUUCCUUUUGUUAAUCACUAUGCUCCCAUACACGAGGAUGUCAUUGAACAGGAAGAAUAUGCGAGGCUUUGGUUUCUUGCGGCAUUCUUUGGUUAAAAUCCCUUCUCCCAAAAGGACUCUCCCUGGCACAGCUAAGGGUUGUCCAGAAGCCCCAAAGCAGUUUUCCACAGCAGCAAUGCGCUGGCUGUUGAUCUCGGUGUUUGCGAGGUGGUCCACCAUCUCCAGCUCACCCUGAAGAGAGGAAAAUAAAGAAGUGGUGAAGCUGCACUUGGCAGACCACCAGGACGAGGCUGAGCAGCGAGCCUGCGUGCACGUGAUAAGCUUCUAAUGUCAGUGGAGGUUAAAAUAAUCUCUUUUCCACUCUUCACAUCAGUUUAUGACCUUUUAGAAUUAUUUUUUCAAAGUUUCUGACUGCACUUUGCAACAAUCUGGCCUGCAUUGGGGUGGUUCCAUUCUCAGCAAUGGAAGCUCUCUAAUACAGAGCCCUCUUUUCCGUUACAACCGUGCUUUUUACCAGUAUAUCUGCAUUCCCAUAUGAAAGAAAGCAGACUGGCCUGAAAUACUUCAUACACGGGGAGUUUCUGCACUGUGACAGCUGGCGGGGUCCAGGGCCAGGCCCUUCUGUCCCUGCCAGCAGUGAGCACAGCUGCACAGGCGCUGUGCUAGUGCUGUGAGCUGGCUGAUGAUGGGCUGGAUGCAGUGCAGGGAGAACAUUUGUGGUCUCUGGAGCCAGUCUCCCAUUUCUGCCUGCGCGCUUGUUUUCUUGAAGAUUACCUGCAGAUACACACCGCCCAGAAUGCUGUUUUGGGUCAGAGCUGAGGCAGACUUUUGGAACCAAACAGAGUGCUCUACUGUUUGUUCCCACUGAUCCUCCCUGCAUGACAAAAUGAAGAAAAAAGGAAGGAAAAAAAAAGAAAAGCAAAAAGGCAGCAGCUACAUGAAUAAAAAAAACACACAGCCAGCUCCUUCCUCCAUUGCCCCAGCUGUGCUUCGGCUGCCUGUGCUUCCAGUUAUAAGACACAUCACUCUGAAAAUAGCCUGAUGUCUGCUGAAAGGGAAGUAGAUCGCAGCAUGCUUAUCUUUCCCUGCACCUCUGCACCCUUGUUCUCACACAGCCCAUGUGCUUGUGGUUUUUUAAAAUGUACAUAAAGGUAGCUCUGAAGCAAACGCUGAUGUUGUGCUACUAAUAGUUUGCAGUAAGAAAAGUGCUUUAUGUUGUACAUUAAAUUUUUCAGUGCACCUAAUUCCUUCUGAGUUUAAUGGUACACCAAGACUAUUCAGGCCUAACAAUCCACGAGAAAGUGAGUCAUUUCCUCUUACAGAGAGGUAGUUCAGCAAUCACGAGGUAGCCCACAGAUCACAGGGAUCUGUGCAGUCCUAGUUUCUGUGAGCAUUUCAGGCCAUAACCCAUAUAGAACCUCUCGCCACAUUUUUCCCAUCUUUGAGUCCUUAUAGCCAGUGUUGGAAUGUGGGGGAAAGGGAAGGCAAAGACAACAACACGCUGAGUUCUGAGCAUUUGAGAUGACGAUUUACAUUCUUGUCUUGCCCUUCGCUCCAAAUACCUUUCAGAAUGCUACAAGGGAAACCGCAGAAUAGCUGUUCGAGGUCGCUGUGCACUGUUUAUGUAUUGCCUAAGCUAUUUAACAGACUGCUCAAUUCUCUCUAGUCCCCAGAUUUUUUUCUUUAGAGCAGGCCAGCAGUCCCCGUACAAAGUAAUGGUGCUGGUUCAGCCCUGUGAGGGAACCUGAAGGAAAUGACUCUGCAUUAAUAUGUUUUUGUAAGUAGUGCUGUGUGACCAGUGCUUCUCAAAAGCUGCAGCUAUUGGGAUUUCUUUUCGAUGCACAAAGGCAGCACCUUCUGCAGCAUGGGGCUUGUCUUCAGGAUACCAGCAUGGCUUCCACCAGCCCUGCUUGCUGCCUGACAACCUUCCCAAGAUUUGUCUUGCAGGAGCUGCUGGGAUCUUGGAAACGCACACAGCCAGGCAAACCCAAGCUGACAUGUCACCAAAAGAGGACAACCCAGGGUGAAUCUUCUUCAAUUAAAGGCAGGAUGCCAAGGCCUCCCAAUUCUUCCUGCAAGUAUGUAAAUCUUCAGGGUCCUGAAGUCCAGAUGUGAUGGAGCUGGACAAUGUGAAACAUACCCACUCGUGUGUGUCCUCCAGUGUGAUGUGCAAUUUAAAGCUAACCAUAAGUUAAAUAGUUACAAAAAAAGCAUCUGAGAGAUGGAAGUAGUAUAAGAAAAUACCUUCAGAGGAAGUCAAAGUGAGCAGCUAUGUAGUAAAAAAGUGUGAAAUGUGAAGGAAACAAAAAGGGGCUCCCAUUAAAUGUCAUGCUUCCACACAGAGAGUACCUUCUUCCCUCUGGAUUGCUACACACGUAAAAAGCCAUGAGUUAACUAAGAAAAGCUAACUCCUUCUUGGGAAAAUCUCCCUGCUACAACUAGAAGUGUCAUCUGUUGCUCUAGGCCUGGAUAUUUCCCUAAGGAGUUCUCACAGGGAAGCAAAAUAAAAGCUUUUUUCUUCCAUUUCUAUCCCCUCAGGCGUAAUAACGUUCCAGUAAAUAACUGGAGCACAGAAGUAAAAAAAAAAAAAAAAAAAAAGUGGGACUCACAUUGCUUAACUUCAGGCUUGGACAACAGCUUCAGUACAACUCUGCACUCCCUGUUCAGCUGUGGGGAGGCAGCCAGCUGUAAGGGGUGGCUCACCCUGUCCCACCAUGAGGGAGAGCAGCCCUGCCCCGAAUUUCUACACAGCCCAUGGCUUGACUAAACGACAGACAGAUUCCAUGUUAAUAGCAUGACUCACUGCAGAUAGUGCUCAGCGCUGCUUUGGAAUGGAACUGCUAUGUAUGGCAGUUUAAGAAUAAUAUGGUUUCCUUACUAUGAAGCAUCCCUGCCUUUAGGAACAACAGUGAUGUGGUAUAAAAAGCAGAGCAUAAAUUGUAUUCUAGUCAUUCUAGUAGAUAUUUUUUUCCCUUUUUCAUCAGGUUUGCUCUGUGACUUCAGAUUGUGCUGCCUGUUACCGAGUGAUGCAAAUGCACAUAUGCCUCACAUGGUAGAAGAGUGGGAAGAUGUACUUUACUGGCAUCCUACUUUACAUGAGAGUUUUCAGCAUGGCAAAGUUUCCAUUCUUUUUUGUGUCAUGAUCUGUUGACUCUGCAUGUGAUCAAACAUAUCCAGUUUGUACAGUUGGUAUUCAAAGGAAAAAUACUAUUUUGUCUGCACCCAACUUCACUUUUCAACAAUGAGUGCUUAUUAACUUAUGAAUAUAAAUAGCCAUGCUGAUGCUUGCCUGGCAGUACUCCCGGGUCACUCAGCCUGGGCUAUGCUU
Long non-coding RNA from Centrocercus urophasianus (Greater sage-grouse), 12546 nucleotides. RefSeq lists it as uncharacterized. The record is from RefSeq and is a predicted model, not a curated record. The transcript is spliced from 3 exons. Lineage: Eukaryota; Metazoa; Chordata; Aves; Galliformes; Phasianidae.